GCCGGAUAAGCUUUUUGGAAGAUUAUUGAACUAUUGAAGCUUGUGAAAAGCUUUGCGACAUUACUCACUCUUAUCUUGGUCCUAAUGAUUAAGGGAAGAUGGAGAACUUGAAUUGAAACUUAAGUGACAAGUAAAGUGACAUUUUCCGCUCUUUAAGACCUUUUAAACAGCAGCAUCAAGUGAGUUUCACGCUCCUCCAAGGCCUUUAGUUUCCGAAUUUGUAGCGGUUGAGUUUAUAAAUUUGAUCAUCAUAUCGCAGAGUUUCAAGCUUCAACAUUUUCUUGGUUUUUUCCUGAUUAAAUAUUAGGCUCCAGAAAAGGAUACUAAGGAUAUGCCUUCAUUAAAACAGACUAAAUCUCGGGUCAGAAAGAAGAAGAAUUAAAGUUUAAAGAGCUAGCUCAUGCAUAUGAGGUCCUUAGUGAUCCUGAAAAACGGGAGAUCUAUGACCAAUAUGGUGAGGAUGCACUUAAGGAAGGAAUGGGUGGAGGUGGCAGCAUGCACGAUCCAUUCGACAUCUUCCGGUCCUUUUUUGGAGGAAGUCCAUUUGGUGGUGGUGGUAGUAGCCGAGGAAGAAGGCAAAGGCCGGGAGAGGAUGUAGUUCAUCCUCUGAAGGUAUCACUUGAAGAUCUCUUUACUGGGACGACAAAGAAGCUCUCCCUCUCUCGUAAUGUAAUAUGUUUGAAGUGUACUGGCAAAGUAUCAAAAUCUGGAGUUUCCAUGAAGUGUUCUGGAUGUCAAGGUACUGGUAUGAAGGUGUCUAUUAUUAGACAUCUGGGCCCCUCAAUGAGACAGCAAAUGCAGCACCCUUGCAAUGAAUGCAAAGGGACUGGAGAGACAAUUAAUGACAAAUAUCGGUGCCCUCAAUGCAAAGGUGAGAAGGUUGUGCAGGAGAAGAAGGUCUUAGAGGUUGUUGUGGAGAAGGGCAUGCAACAUGGACAGAAAAUUACUUUCCCUGGAGAGGCUGAUGAAGCUCCUGAUACUGUCACCGGAGAUAUCGUCUUUGUCCUGGAGCAGAAAGAUCGUCCUAAAUUCAAGAGAAAGGGCGAAUAUCUCUUUUAUGAGCAUACUCUGAGCCUGACUAAAGCUCUUUGUGGCUUUAGAUUUGUGCUGACCCACCUUGAUGGAAGGCAACUUCUUAUCAAAUAUUCAAAUCAAUUCAAGGCAAUUGAUGAUGAGGGUAUGUCAAUUUACCAGAGGCCAUUCAUGAAGGGCAAGAUGUACAUCUAUUUCACAGUGGAGUUCGCCGAUUCUUUUAACCCUGAUCAGGUUAAAGCAUUGGAAGCGAUCCUUCCACCUAAGCCAUCGAUGGCUCUCACUGUAGUUUUCUCCUUUGUACCGUGGGUGGAGUUUGAGGUUGAAUUCUGUUGAGUAUUUGUGUGAUAAAUGAAGAAUUUGGAGGAACCCCUCAGAUUUGAUAAUCUGUUGAGCAGGUGCAUCACAUCAAACAGAUGUAAGUCAGUGAGCUUCGAGCUUUUUCAUAAUCUUAUAUCAUAUGAUGAUAUGAAUGUUUUUGGGGAGAUUUCCUCAUUUGAUUUGUCUUUUGAGAUAUUGCAGAACAAUCUAAGCUCUUUCUCUGAAAGUUAUAAUAUAAAUUAUACAUCACAUGCUUGCCUAAAGAUAGUUAAUUCCAGUCAAAUCAUACAAGAUAGAAAACAUGAUAACAAAUUGUCGGCAGAGUAACAGUAUUGAAGAAUUUUAAUUUAGGAUGUGAUAAUUAUAAUUUAAGCAGUUCACAUUUUUAAUUAAUGAACUGUUUUUUGAGCUUACAAAAAAUUAUUGCUAUUAAAUUGAGAAUUGAAGGAAAAAGCUUAAAGUCUCUUCCAUACUUAAGACUGUUGUAGUUGCGAAUUUAAAUACUCUUGUCCAAAAUGCCCAGCUUGUUCAGGGUUAUGCAAUUGUUCUUGUCCCAAAUGCCCAACAUGUUCAGGAUUAUGCAAUUGCUUGUCUUAUUUGCUUUGCAUGUUAAGAAAUUCGCAAAUCUUGUUUCAGUUGCUUUACGUGAGAUUAUGAGAUGAGAGCUUCUCUGGCUCUCAAUUUAAAUGACCUUUUGGUGCUUCUCGAGGAGAAUCAUGAGUGCUCUUUCCAUAAUCGUCAGAACAAUGUCAAUUUUAAACGACCUUUUGGUUCUAUCAGGUGUUUGCGGUGGAAUAAAAACAUGGGUUAAUGUAAUUAUUUCUACGGAGCUUCCAUAUAUCUUAUAUUCUAUUGGUCUAGGCUUUCAGCUGUUACCUUGUUCUUAGUGAAGUUGGCAAACCAUCACUACAUUUCAAGAGACGGUUGCAGUCAACUGACAUUUUUGUGGAGCGGAAAAUUAUUCUAGAAGCUUCUGAUGGCCUAUAAAAGGCUCAAGUAUAUUCAUCUUCUCUGUUUUUCUACCCUAAAAUGGCCAUCGACAAUAAUUAUGACAGUAGUUUGUCAAUAUAAUUAGCCCUUGAAAAAUUACUGUUAUAUGCCUUGUCAUAUUGUUACUGGAAAGGUUAUAUUGAUAUUAACCUUAUAUGUUUUAGUUACUUUUUUGGGUUAGUUGAGUUUUGAUUUGUUUAAAAGAAUAAUUUAGAAUUUUGGGUUCAGAUUUUAGUACGAUAAGGGGUGUUAAGCAGCAAUGGUGAAGUCGGGGUCUCUGUCUUUCACCUUUUAGGGUUUAGGGUAUAGUAAGAUCAAGGGUUUAUGAUGGGUUUUGUUUUGGGUUUGUAGCUUGAAGACAAGGAGAUGCUUCUGCCCCAUUCUAAGGUUGAGUAUUACUUCUAUUACCACAAGAGGUCGGGUUUGGUUGGGUAGGCUAACUGGUUGUGGCUGGGAAGCUUGACAGAAGAUGGGUUUCUAAUAAGGAGAACUUGGAUUAGUAGCUACUUUGAUAUUAUAGGUUCGUGUCUGUUAUUUGUCUAUUUGCUCAUGGAUCAUGAUUACUUGGGGAUGCUUUUGAUAUUAUAGGUUCUUGUUUAUUAUUGGAGAUGCUUUUGUGUUGAUAAGCUAAGCUCCUUUUAUUUGCAUCUCUUUGAUAUUUGCAGUUUGCCUUGCAUUAUUCAUGGUCGACUAAGUUGGGUGUAUAGUGAGAUUUGUCAAAUAUUUGAGCAUUGCUUCGACCAAGUGGCAUCUUAAUUUGAACAAUGCCUGAAGCCAAUGCUACUGUCUAGAAGUUCAGAGAAGCUUUCCUAUGUGUGUUAUUAAUUUUUACAUUACCGGAAUUCAGACCUUAAAGAAAAUCAGGAAUGUUUGGCUUGUAACACAGGAAUUUCUUAUGUAUGUUUAUAUUAAUUAUGCAAAGCCAAACCACUGGAUUCCUUUCA
Chenopodium quinoa (quinoa) is the source of this 3287-nucleotide RNA transcript. It is a transcript of the gene named dnaJ protein homolog ANJ1-like, with no coding region annotated. Lineage: Eukaryota; Viridiplantae; Streptophyta; Magnoliopsida; Caryophyllales; Amaranthaceae. The transcript is spliced from 11 exons. The record is from RefSeq and is a predicted model, not a curated record.